This 480-nucleotide ribosomal RNA is filed under the name Rhodotorula sp. DMKU-RE16. RNAcentral describes it as "eukaryotic LSU rRNA". It matches the Rfam family "Eukaryotic large subunit ribosomal RNA", at positions 151 to 647 of the family's 3401-position model. Lineage: Eukaryota; Fungi; Basidiomycota; Microbotryomycetes; Sporidiobolales; Sporidiobolaceae. The record is from RNAcentral.
AAAAAGUGUUUUCCGCGUUGGACCGCAACAAGUCUGUUGGAAUACAGCGGCAUAGUGGUGAUACCCCAUUACACGGUGCGGACGCCCAGCGCUUUGUGAUACACUUUCGACGAGUCGAGUUGUUUGGGAAUGCAGCUCAAAUUGGGUGGUAAAUUCCAUCUAAAGCUAAAUAUUGGCGAGAGACCGAUAGCGAACAAGUACCGUGAGGGAAAGAUGAAAAGCACUUUGGAAAGAGAGUUAAAAGUACGUGAAAUUGUUGGAAGGGAAACGCUUGAAGUCAGACUUGCUUGCCGGGCUUGCUCGGUUUGCAGGCCAGCAUCAGUUUUCCGGGGCGGAUAAUGGCAGUUAGAAUGUAGCAGUCUCGGCUGUGUUAUAGCUUUCUGCUGGAUACGCCCUGGGGGACUGAGGAACGCAGCGUGCCGUAUGGCGAGGGCUUCGGCCCUUUCACGCUUAGGAUGCUGGUGGAAUGGCUUUAAACGA